Long non-coding RNA from Drosophila simulans, 4329 nucleotides. RefSeq lists it as uncharacterized. The transcript has 3 exons. NCBI's taxonomy places the organism in Eukaryota, Metazoa, Arthropoda, Insecta, Diptera, Drosophilidae. The record is from RefSeq and is a predicted model, not a curated record.
CUUGGCCACAUCGAUGCUGGCAGUUCGAUGAUUGCGUGUUAAUUAAACGAUUGCACGCACAGUUGCACAUUCGUUAUAAUGGAAAAGAGAGAGUUGCCGUGUGGCAGGAAGAGGGUGUUAAAGAGCAUCAGCAGGCAAAUGCGGAACAUACAUUUUUCCCUCUUCGAGAGUGCAGAUUUAUGGCCGAGCAGCUGUCACAAAAGUCUGUCCUUGGUCCUCCCUUUUGCCACUUCCGUUCCUCCAGCCCAUGAGCCCUUUGGUCCUCCGAGCCGGAUUUCGGCCCAUUCGCAGAAGCGCGCGAGAGUGUGUGAUAGUGUGGACUCGCGUGGCAUACACAACUAACAACUACACCCACGUAAGCACAAGUGACAGGUAAUUUGUGCAUAAAAGCGUGUUCACGUGGGGUGGCAGAAAUUGGGGAAGAGAAAGCACAGGCACCACCCACGCAUGCAUUAUUCAGUGCAUUGCCAGCUAUUCUCCUGCCUGCGCACACUUCAAAAUUUUCGUAAUUGUACCUCAAUGGAAAGGCAUUUUUUGCACUAUUCAACGGAUUUCCAAGGGACAGUUGUGACAUCGUUGUGAUGGCAUAUGUGGCCAUAGUCGGGUACGCCGUUGAAGUCCGUAUCCUGGUUUAUUAUCCUAACAAGCUGGGCCUGUCACUGUUCAUGCCCGAUAAAUAUCCCAGUUAAUUAUCGAAUUUGUUUCUGUGAAAGUUUUGGAAGGAAGAGUCUUGUGAUGAAUACUACGCAACACAAACGCAUGAACGUGAUGAACUAUGUUGUGAUGUCGGCGCCACAUCUUCAGCUACAGAAAUUUGCAUAGAUUGAACUUUCAGCAAUACGAGUGCGAGUGCGAAUCCAUCGUCACAUGUGGCAACAUGCAAAAUUAUGAAAAUAAAGAUGCAGACACAGCAUACGGAGCAUUUGAGCGGGGUACUGUUGGUAUGCGUUCUUAAAUGUUUGACGAAAUUUCGUUAAUGGAAUUCGAUUCGCGGCUCACACAAAACGUGAUUGGAUUUCGGCCAGAAGGGAACAACUUUGACAAAGCCAGCCAGACAAUAGCAGGAUGAUGCGAAGAUGAUGAACAAAACCGGUUGUCAGUCAAGCAAAAGGAUCCUUUUCCUAAUUGCGAGUUGAGGCUUCCUUCCUUAUCGACUCUUAUCGUCACCCUCAAGGGCGUCUUAAAGUCAAUGCAAAUUUAAUUAAUACCCAGCUAGGAACAGUACCGCUAAGUGGCCAAGUGCGCCGGCACAUUGUUCUGCAGAAUAAAUUCCGAUGAGCAGCUGCUGCCCUCUCAGGACUCGCCUUGGAUUUCCCGGCAUUAUCCUAAGCAUCUCAAACAAUAACAAAGCCCUGGGCUAUUAGAGUUAGGCAGCAAACCCAUGUAAUAAAUUUCAGCCUGUCAGCCAGUUGCCUCCAGCGGCAACAUGUGCACCCCAAUCAUCAGCCCUUAGCAACUUAUUUACAGAGAUUGAGUUGAAGCCAACACAGAGCUGUGGCAAGAUUUUAGUCACAGAUGCCAUCGCGAUGGGACAGGUGAAGAGUGUAAUUAUAUUAGCAGAGAAAGGUGCGAGUCAUUAAUCGUGCGUAGCACCCAUUAGUUUCGGCUUCAUUGGCAGUUUUAAAUCGUACACAUAAAGAAGAUAAAUCCUUCAGAUACAAAAUAAGUGCAGUUUCAUAUACUCGCGCUGCGUCCAUGUAUCUGGAAUCAGCAUGCUUAAUCUCACUUUUUGGCGUUAGUACCAGCUCGGGAAUUGAUCCCGAUUAAGGAUAUACUUUAUAUGGUCGAAACCGUUUCCCUGUACCUGUUACAUAGUUUUAACGAAUCUAGUACACCCUAUUACUCUACGAGUAAUGGGCAUAAAUAUCAAAGAGUGUUUAUAAUAUAAUUUUAUAUGAGUGAUAACAAAUUUAUUUCAUUUAUAAAAUGGUAAUAUAUCGACUAUCGAAUUCAUUCACUUUUUUUCCAUAAAAACGUGGAUAUAAAUUCAUUUGUACAGAUUUCCAGGAAAUCUCAACAUUUGUAUCGAAAACUUUUGCAAAAUUGUCAAAUAAUCCGAAACAUGCAUAUCUUUUUUAUUUCUCUUUUCAAUUUAAACCAGAUCUCUUACAUGUACGUACACACAGUCGUCUAGCCUUACCAGAUUGCUAUGAAUAUUUUCGGAAAUUUUACGGUUGACCUUUUCUUGUUUCCUGCACCACAAUCGAAUUGAAUUCAUUUCAUCGCGGGAAAAUGUCAAUGUCAAUACCCAUUUAAUAAAGCUGGGGCGGCAUGCCGAUACUUAAUACGAAGCCAUGUGCCUUACCUCUGCUGUGAGACUCGUCCCAGGAGCAGCAGAGGAAGCCAGGUGUGUGUGCUAGGCAAAUAUUGUCUAAGGACCCGUGGGAAUAAUAGCACACAGCAGCACGCGAGAGCAUUCCCCUACCUCCGUUGAGUCCAUACCCCUUACUGGUCGGGUGUUCACGGUGAACGCGGGUCUUAUAAAUAACUUUAUCGAUACUCGAUACAUACCUACCUACCUGGUCGGCUCCGGGAAGAUAUGACGUUGGUACCACUAAGAUCUGAGUGCUUCAUCACAAGCAUUUCUAGCGUUUAUAGCUCCCGAGACACGCCCAUGACCAGAUAAACUCGGUUAGUGAAAUAAUAUCUACAUAUACGUUAUGUGGACGAUACAUCUACGAGUAUGUUUUGAAUAAAAAUCGUAGCAAAAUCAAAUAUUCGAUUUCAGAGCACAGGGUACUUCUCUGUCGAAUCAUCCGACAUACGUUGAUAUCAAGUGGCGGGCGGCAAUCAAAAGCGGCUCUUGUUUCCAGCUCCUCACCCCCUCGACUUCCCCUGCAAUACAUUGUAGCGACACAAUAUAUAUGUUUCCAAACAUUUCGAGUGAGUGUUGGUUACCGUUGUCCUUUGACCCGUAUGAGGAUGCCACGUUUGCGGAUUUCGUGCCUCGUAUCAGCUUUUAAUUUUACGCGCAACUGCUGAGCUGCAGUGUCAGCGGCUUUCGUGGAGUCAUGGGACAGCGGAAUUAUCCUGCCAGGCUGCAUGGUUUUUGCGAUUAUGCAAAUAAACGCAUAUCUUUACAUUUUGCCGAUUUAAAAACGAGCAGAUGCUGAUAUUAAUUCAUUCAGGACGCAAGGUGGCCUUAUUUGCUUAGAGCCUUGUCCCAGUAAAUCUACUUUAGCGCCACGGGAAAUCAGAACGAAUGCCGCACAACAAUGAGCGACAUGACAUGAACUGCCGCCGGUUAAUUUUAUUACCUGGCAGAUACUUACACAAUCAACCAACAUGACUCUUCCUCACAGGUAUACAUGUAUGUAUGCAUGUAUGUAUAAAGCGUUUUAAGCCGGAAAUAACGCACAGUGAUUCAAUUUGUGGCAUGUUACUUUCAUUAUCGUUCCUGACAAGCAAAUUAACAGUACUUUUUAUUUUUCAAAACUUUUAUUUUAUAUUCUUCCUUUCAACAAUAGGUUUACUUAAGGCUUGACAUACAAUUUGAAAUGACUUUAUAAAUUCUGAUUUGUAAACCGAGACUUUCUCAGACUGUAUUUCAGCACAAUUCCGCUUAAGCUCUUAAUGAAAAGCGAAUACAAUCGCAGAGUAAGCGGCACUCGCUUCUGUGCCAAUUAUCUCAUUUUUGAAAUUUAAUUUGCAAUGACAACAAAACGAAAUACAUUAUCCACGUAUGAGAUUAAUUACACACGUUCAGGACACACGGAUGCGCGGUAUGAAUAAUUAAUUUAAAUGAUAAACCAUUAGGUAUCCAAAUUUAUAUCAGAAGUUAAAUGGUUCAAUAUAAUACAGACACCGGUUUAAUUAAAAGCUAAUGUCUAAAUAGAAAAGGCAUACAAUAUAUAAAAAGUUGUACAUAUAUCUACCCAAAUCCAUUUUGUCGGAUCUUGUGUAGUAUUUUUAGUGAUGCUGAUGAAGAAUAUUUAUAUUGAGGUAAUUUUCAUCGAAUAUAGUAUACCUAUUUUAAAUACCAGAAUUUUAAUACUAAAUUGAUCCAACUCAAAAAAAAAAUACUUUAUACUAGUAACGGAUAUAAGCAAUUUGAUAUAGGAAAUUUUUGAAGUUGUUGGUGCCAUUGUUACUUAAUGUAUCUUGUGCUAUAAUGUAACUUAAGAAUAUUAAUUAAGUACACCAUCAAAAUCGACAUCACUAAAAUUUGCCAUACAAUUUUCUUCUUGCAGUAUUUUAUUAUAUGUUUAAUGGCAUGAAUUACGAAGACAAUGAAUUUUUUUUAAUAUGAAAUUGUUAUUAUUUAAUAAAUAUUUUGUUAAGCUGAACUAAGGUACCACAACAUUUUUUAAUAUUUUAAAGAAUAAAUUA